RNAcentral lists this long non-coding RNA (652 nucleotides) under Lupinus mutabilis. RNAcentral's name for it is "partial ncRNA". Lineage: Eukaryota; Viridiplantae; Streptophyta; Magnoliopsida; Fabales; Fabaceae. The record is from RNAcentral.
AAAUACUAACAUACUAACAUUUGCAUGUUGGUAUUGUAUUUUAGGGUGCCAUGAGUAUAUUGAAGUGGUUGCAAGCACAAUAACAAGGAAGAAGCAGAUCAAAUUUCUGGUUGAGUUGGAACUUAAGGACCACUUUCAAAUAGCAAAAGCAGGAGAAGAAUAUCAGGAACUUGUUUCAACUUUGCCAGAGGUUUAUAUUGGGAAGCCUGAAUACCUGAAUGCUCUUGUAAGAGUGAUGUGUGAUGCUGCAAAGAAAUCAAUGAAGGAGAAGAAAAUGUAUAUUGGUCCUUGGAGGAAGAGCAGCUUCAUGCAAAUGAAGUGGUCAGGCUUCAACAAAAAAUGGACUUGAGGAGCUUCCCCUGCUGUGGUAGUGACCUAACUUGAUUCUUUAAUAAUAAGCCAAUUUCAAUGGCAGAUCUUCAAGGGGAAUUUUGGACUCAAACACCCCUUAGUAGUAGUAGUAGGAGUUGAUGCCCAAGCCAUUGGUACAGUGUAAUAUAAAUGCCUAGCAGUAAUAGCAUGAGGCAUUAGUAAGUACUGUAGUAACUAAGUUUUACUUUUAUGUUAUAUAGAUGGCUUGGUUGAAUGUAUAUUCAACUUCAACAUCAGAUGCUAAUUUUGUAUAUUCGAAUAUAAAUGUCAUGCACUCUAG